AAUGAACGCUGGCGGCAGGCCUAAUACAUGCAAGUCGAGCGCUCUAGCAGUAGGGAGCGGCGCACGGGUGCGUAACGCGUGGGAAUAUGCCCUGAGGUAAGGAACAACCAAGGGAAACGUUGGCUAAUACCGUAUCAUCUCCUGGGAACAACGAUUCAUCGCCUAAAGAGUAGCCCGCGUCUGAUUAGCUUGUUGGUGGGGUAAAGGCCUACCAAGGCGACGACCAGUAGCUGGUCUGAGAGGAUGAUCAGCCACACUGGAACUGAGACACGGUCCAGACUCCUACGGGAGGCAGCAGUAAGGAAUAUUGGACAAUGGGGGAAACCCUGAUCCAGCCAUGCCGCGUGAGUGACGAAGGCCUUAGGGUUGUAAAGCUCUUUUGGUGGGGAAGAUAAUGACUGUACCCACAGAAUAAGCCCCGGCUAAAUUCGUGCCAGCCGCCGCGGUAA
This 449-nucleotide ribosomal RNA is filed under the name uncultured bacterium. RNAcentral describes it as "partial 16S ribosomal RNA". It matches the Rfam family "Bacterial small subunit ribosomal RNA", at positions 29 to 523 of the family's 1533-position model. The record is from RNAcentral.